UUUUUUGUUUUUUUUUUUUUUUCUGUCUGUCGCUCAGACUGGAGUGCAGUGGCGCGAUCUUAGCUCACUGCAGCCUUGACCUCCCAGGCUCAGGUGAUCCUCCCACUUCAGCGUCUGGAGUAGCUGGGACCACAGGAGCCUGCCACUACACCAGACUAAUUUUUGUAUUUUUAGUAGAUAGGGUCUCAUCAUGUUGCCCGGGAUGAUGGAACUACAGUAUUUUUUUAAUAAAACAUUUUAAUUGUUUUAUAAAUAGAGACGGGGUCUUGCCAUGUUGCCUAGGCUGGUCUCAAACUCCUGGGCUGAAGCCAUCCUCCCACCUUGGCCUCCCAAAGUGCUGGGAUUACAGGAGUGAGCCACCCUGCCCAGCCUAAACGUUUUAGAGUUUUAGAUUCCCACAAAAUGUGCAGAUAGUUCAGAACUCCCGUGUGCCACAUCCCAGGCCCCCUGUUCCCGGCAUCCAGGCCAGUGGGAUACAUUUGUCUCAAUCAAUGAACAAAUACUGAUGCAUCACUGUUAAGUGGAGUCCACACUUGAUUCCGGUUUACUCAGUUUCCCCCAGUUUCCUGCUCAGGGCCCCACCCGGGAUCCCACAUGGCAUUGAGGCGUUGCGUCUCCUUGGGUCUCUCCGGGCUGUUGCAGUUUCCCAGACGUUCCUGUUUCUGACCCCCGCACGCUCCCGGGGAAGGAGAUCACGUUCCCGUUUCUGACCCCUGCACGCUCCCGGGGAAGGAGGUCACGUUCCCGUUUCCGACCCCCUGCACGCUCCCGGGGAAGGAGGUCACGUUCCCGUUUCUGACCCCCUGCGCGCGCUCCCGGGGAAGGAGGUCACGUUCCCGUUUCUGACCCCCUGCACGCUCCCGGGGAAGGAGGUCACGUUCCCGUUUCUGACACCUGCACGCUCCCGGGGAAGGUCACAUUCCUGUUUCUGACCCCCUGCGCGCUCCCGGGGAAGGAGGUCACGUUCCCGUUUCUGACCCCUGCACGCUCCCGGGGAAGGUCACGUUCCUGUUUCUGAUCCCUGCACGCUCCCGGGAAAGGAGGUCACGUUCCCGUUUCUGACCCCUGCACGCUCCCGGGGAAGGAGGUCACGUUCCCGUUUCUGACCCCCCUGCGCGCUCCCGGGGAAGGAGGUCACGUUCCCGUUUCUGACCCCUGCGCGCUCCCGGGGAAGGAGGUCACGUUCCCGUUUCUGACCCCUGCGCGCUCCUGCGGAAGGAGGUCACGUUCCUGUUUCUGACUCCUGCACGCUCCUGCAGAAGGAGGUCACGUUCCCGUUUCUGACCCCUGCACGCUCCUGCGGAAGGAGGUCACGUUCCUGUUUCUGACCCCUGCACGCUCCUGCGGAAGGAGGUCACGUUCCCGUUUCUGACCCCCUGCGCGCUCCCGGGGAAGGAGGUCACGUUCCCGUUUCUGACCCCUGCGCGCUCCCGGGGAAGGAGGUCACGUUCCCGUUUCUGACCCCUGCACGCUCCUGCGGAAGGAGGUCACGUUCCUGUUUCUGACCCCUGCACGCUCCUGCAGAAGGAGGUCACGUUCCCGUUUCUGACCCCUGCACGCUCCCGGGGAAGGAGGUCACGUUCCCGUUUCUGACCCCUGCACGCUCCUACGGAAGGAGGUCACGCUCCCGGGGAAGGAGGUCACGUUCCCGUUUCUGACCCCUGCACGCUCCUGCAGAAGGUCACGUUCCUGCGGAAGGAGGUCACGCUCCCGGG
Molecule: long non-coding RNA, 1715 nt
Organism: Macaca mulatta (Rhesus monkey)
Lineage: Eukaryota; Metazoa; Chordata; Mammalia; Primates; Cercopithecidae
Source: Ensembl